AAUUUCUCUGAGUCUAAGAUCUCCUAAUCAAGCCAGCCCUUGCACGGCUACAAAACUAACCUCCCUAAAACACAGGUAGCCAGGAAGCAUUUUCUGGGCUAGAUAUCAGGACAAACCCAUGAAUUGUGAGAGGUUCUCUCUGCUGAGAGCUCCCUCUGAUCCCAGGAAAUGGAGUGCUGGUUCCAUGUGCUAGAAGACACAGCUUCCUGCCAGAAAGAGGAUCUGGGCCUCAUCUCCAUGUGUGCCAGCAUUCAGAUGCGGCUGUCUGGGCUUUCAUGGAUGAGUCAUGGCAAUGGCCAGACCUCAGCUGCAAGUUGGGGU
This 321-nucleotide long non-coding RNA is filed under the name Homo sapiens (human). RNAcentral describes it as "HSALNT0179312". The record is from RNAcentral. Lineage: Eukaryota; Metazoa; Chordata; Mammalia; Primates; Hominidae.